GGGGAGUUCGCAUAGCGGCAAUUGCAAGGGACUGUAAAUCCCUCCUCUUUUGAGUUCAUAGGUUCGAGUCCUAUACUCCCCA
RNAcentral lists this transfer RNA (82 nucleotides) under Treponema sp. RNAcentral describes it as "tRNA-Tyr". It matches the Rfam family "tRNA". From Rfam's summary of the family: Transfer RNA (tRNA) molecules are approximately 80 nucleotides in length. The record is from RNAcentral. Lineage: Bacteria; Pseudomonadati; Spirochaetota; Spirochaetia; Treponematales; Treponemataceae.